CCUACGGGAGGCAGCAGUGAGGAAUAUUGGUCAAUGGGCGCGAGCCUGAACCAGCCAAGUCGCGUGAGGGAAGACGGUCCUAUGGAUUGUAAACCUCUUUUGUCGGGGAGCAAAAGACGCCACGCGUGGCGUUCCGAGAGUACCCGAAGAAAAAGCAUCGGCUAACCCCGUGCCCGCAGCCGCGGUAAUACGGAGGAUGCGAGCGUUAUCCGGAUUUAUUGGGUUUAAAGGGUGCGCAGGCGGAAGAUCAAGUCAGCGGUAAAAUUGAGAGGCUCAACCUCUUCGAGCCGUUGAAACUGGUUUUCUUGAGUGAGCGAGAAGUAUGCGGAAUGCGUGGUGUAGCGGUGAAAUGCAUAGAUAUCACGCAGAACUCCGAUUGCGAAGGCAGCAUACCGGCGCUCAACUGACGCUCAUGCACGAAAGUGUGGGUAUCGAACAGGAGUAGAUACCCCGGUAGUC
This 459-nucleotide ribosomal RNA is filed under the name uncultured bacterium. Its description in RNAcentral is "partial 16S ribosomal RNA". It matches the Rfam family "Bacterial small subunit ribosomal RNA", at positions 338 to 795 of the family's 1533-position model. The record is from RNAcentral.